Molecule: non-coding RNA, 306 nt
Organism: Poecilia latipinna (sailfin molly)
Lineage: Eukaryota; Metazoa; Chordata; Actinopteri; Cyprinodontiformes; Poeciliidae
Source: the annotation of a RefSeq genome assembly
AUCACCUUCGAUUCCAACAUGUUGUCUGUAGCUCUGCUGCUGCUUUUGGCUGCUGGAUCCAGUGUGAAGUGUGAGCAGCUGACCCAGCCAGCCUCUGCGACUGUGCAGCCAGGUCAGCGUCUGACCAUCAGCUGUCAGGUCUCUUAUGAUCUGGGCAUCUAUUUCACUCACUGGAUCAGACAACCUGCUGGGAAAGGACUGGAGUGGAUUGGUUACACAUGCCAAGGAUGCGAUCCAGUCUACAAAGAUUCUUUAACAAACAAGUUCAGUUUUACAGUGGAUUCUUCCAGCUUGUCUGUGACCCUG